GGGAAGUAUUAUCACACACCUGUGUUAAACUACAAUACCGUGAAGUGGUUAUUUAUAGCCUAAUGGAUUUCUGUUUUGAUUUUUACUUACAAAGAAUGUUCAUGUAGCAUCUGUGGCACAAAAUUGUAGAAAAGAUGAUUUUCUUUAUAAAGCCUGUCAUAUAUCCCAUGCUGUUGAAUUUCAUAGCAAUUGUUGCCUGUACAGUUCCCUACUUUCUGGCAUCAGCUAAAGAGACAAUACACAAAGAUUUCCCAUUCAUAAGUGACAGUGGACGACAAGGAGUCGCUGCAGCCUUGUUCAGCUUGUUUUUCACACUUUAUGCAUUCAUUUUUUUCAUAAUUUUAACACUGAGAUUUGAGCAGAUUAAGGCAGUAUACAGUAACAGGAGUCAUAAAUGUUUACAUGCUGUGAACACAGUAACAUACUGUAUUGGAUUGCUGGCGUGUGGUGGCGUUUGGUUGCUAACAAACUUUAGAGAGAAAACUGCACCAGAAGAACUCAUGAAAGUACAUAAUGCAGGUUCGGUGAUAGGAUUUGCAUUGGGAACAAUAUACUUUUUGCUACAGACAAUAUUCUCAUUUUUCUGGAAGGAGGUUCCCGGUAGAACACUUGUUAUCAACAUUUGCAGAGGAAUAUUCUCGAGUCUGCAUUUUGCAUUUUUAGCCGCAUUCAUGGUCCUGUUGCAGAACUAUAUGAACACAUAUGAUAUGACUAUGAGGAAAAAUGCAGCUAUCAUGGAGUGGAUUUUUGUAUUUCUAGUGACACUUUAUCCUCUGACGUUCAUACCUGAAUUUUACAAAGCCAAUUUUAAAUGUACCGUCGAUUUUCCUGGUUCUGAUAGGGAUGUUCCUGGAAACGAUUCACGUCUCGUUUUGCAUGAGUCGGGUGUUGCAACUAACAGAUUUAGGGGGGCCGACGAACAGAACUCUCGUCUCAUAGAGAUUGAAGAAACUCAAGAAUUAUUGGAUGAUGAAAUUACCAGUGAUGACAAUAUGUUGCUAUAGAGAACAUUUUAUUGUGAAAUUUCAUAAGUUGAUGUGAAAAAUACACCUUUACUUUAACACUAAAAAAAUUACCUUUUUUGUAAAUAUAUGAUUUAUAUAUUUAGUUGGAACUAAAAAAUAAUGAAAUGAAUACAUGAAAAAGUCACAUAAAAGCUGUUCAGAAACGGCUUCGCCUUUACGGUUAAAUAAAAGUCCUAUUAAUAAAUUUUAAGCUUGCUACAAUAAAAAAAAAACUGAUACAGUAUAAUGGUUUAUUAUUUUCGAAGCGGUUUUCUUGGAUAAUCUUCAUCAGAACGCACCGUGAGUGUGUAACAUUUAAAUUCUACCAGGCAUAUCAAAUGUUUCAAUGAAAUUCUGAAACAUUCUGUAUUAAUUUUAAAGGAAUAUCUACAAAUAACAUAUUUAUUAACUGAUCAUAAGAGAAGAUUGAAAAGACGUCCAUCAAACUUAAGGAAUAAAAACGACAGACAUCUUUUAGCUUUUAAAACGAAGGAAAAACAUGCUGUAAAUCACUUGAUUUUUAUUUGAUUUACAGUGUGGAUAUCAUUAACAAUUUAUAUACAUAUAUUAUUAAAAAAAAUAGUGUAUCAGUAGUGGAAAUAAAGCUUAAAGAGGGGAAUUUGUUUGUGACUUCAUGGAACUUUAUCUAAAUAUGCCUGUUAUGGUUUCAUCGACAUUUAUCACAUCUUCGUUCAAUUUCAGAACAUUGUUCCUUACAUUAUUUAAGAAGUAAGUAAAUUAUCAUCGACACGUUCCUGAAAGAACAUAUUGAAACUUGGGAUUAUUAGCCGAGCAGAGCGAGGGGAAAAAAAUUAAUGUCUUUCCUGUCAAAAAUAUAUAUAUUUUAUUAUUGUAAGGGGAAGCAUUGGGUAUGGGUCGCCCAGGUCAUAAAGGAAAAUUAUUCAUAUAAAGACAUAUUAAAAAUUCCACACUUGACUCCUUGAUAUCAUGAACCAUUAAAAUUGAAAUAAAUACUCAAUGACCACGAGUUUUACGAUUAAUAAUGUAAGUAAAAAAAUAUUAAAUUAAAUGUUAUUAGUGUUUUUAUUAUAUGAAAAUGAGUAUAACAUUAAGAAAACCUUCUGAAAACCUGCAAAAACAUCAAACCAUUAUUCCCUUUUGGUGUCAUUCUUCGUGUCCAACAAACCAACAAAAGAUGGUAAUGACACACAUGAAUAACAAUAAUUAUGACACAAGAGAUAUAGAUAUAUCAUCUGCAUCAAUUGUUCAACAUACUUCUGCUGAAUAAUCAGAUAUUGAUUGAGAGUAUCAUCAUCAAAUUAGCUAUAAUGUUUGCAUGUUUGAAAUACAGAACUUCUGAAACCUUGUAAACAAAUUUCGGUGCCCCCAUCUGAAGUAUUGAAAAUAAGAAUAUCCCCCUUUCCAUUCCGAUAAAUUGUCAUCAAUGCCUUAAUUUCCUCCCCCUUUCAGGUAUCAAAAGACCAGUCCCUAGGCUCUUUUGUAGAAAUCUUGUGAGUUUUGCUGUACUCACGACACAGUGAUGUUGUUUACAUCCGUUAAAUAAAAUACGACCCGUGUUAAUUUACUGACCUCCUCCCUUGAAUAUUGUUUGUAUCGGAACUAACAUUGAUUUUGUUUUUAAUAAAUUAUAAAAGAACUAAA
Mytilus californianus (California mussel) is the source of this 2627-nucleotide long non-coding RNA. RefSeq lists it as uncharacterized. The transcript is spliced from 8 exons. The record is from RefSeq and is a predicted model, not a curated record. Lineage: Eukaryota; Metazoa; Mollusca; Bivalvia; Mytilida; Mytilidae.